GGGGUUGUAGCUCAGUGGUAGAGCACUUGCCUAGCAUGUGUGAGGCCCUGGGUUCAAUCCCCAGCACCA
Molecule: transfer RNA, 69 nt
Filed under: Marmota monax (woodchuck)
Lineage: Eukaryota; Metazoa; Chordata; Mammalia; Rodentia; Sciuridae
Also listed under: 3 other names
Rfam family: tRNA
About the family: Transfer RNA (tRNA) molecules are approximately 80 nucleotides in length. Their secondary structure includes four short double-helical elements and three loops (D, anti-codon, and T loops).
Source: Rfam by way of RNAcentral